This 495-nucleotide ribosomal RNA is filed under the name uncultured bacterium. RNAcentral's name for it is "partial 16S ribosomal RNA". It matches the Rfam family "Bacterial small subunit ribosomal RNA", at positions 30 to 507 of the family's 1533-position model. The record is from RNAcentral.
UGAACGCUGGCGGCGUGCCUAAUACAUGCAAGUCGAGCGAACAGACGAGGAGCUUGCUCCUCUGACGUUAGCGGCGGACGGGUGAGUAACACGUGGAUAACCUACCUAUAAGACUGGGAUAACUUCGGGAAACCGGAGCUAAUACCGGAUAAUAUAUUGAACCGCAUGGUUCAAUAGUGAAAGACGGUUUUGCUGUCACUUAUAGAUGGAUCCGCGCCGCAUUAGCUAGUUGGUAAGGUAACGGCUUACCAAGGCAACGAUGCGUAGCCGACCUGAGAGGGUGAUCGGCCACACUGGAACUGUGACACGGUCCAGACUCCUACGGGAGGCAGCAGUAGGGAAUCUUCCGCAAUGGGCGAAAGCUUGACGGAGCAACGCCGCGUGAGUGAUGAAGGUCUUCGGAUCGUAAAACUCUGUUAUUAGGGAAGAACAAAUGUGUAAGUAACUAUGCACGUCUUGACGGUACCUAAUCAGAAAGCCACGGCUAACUACGUG